This 1785-nucleotide ribosomal RNA is filed under the name Gymnophallus deliciosus. RNAcentral describes it as "SSU rRNA". It matches the Rfam family "Eukaryotic small subunit ribosomal RNA", at positions 133 to 1767 of the family's 1831-position model. Lineage: Eukaryota; Metazoa; Platyhelminthes; Trematoda; Gymnophallidae. The record is from RNAcentral.
UACUACAUGGAUAACUGUAGUAAUUCUAGAGCUAAUACAUGCCACUAUGCCCUGACCCGCAAGGGAACGGGUGGAUUUAUUAGAACAGAACCAACCGAUGCGGGCAACCGUGUCGUCUAAUUCUGUGAUGACUCUGGAUAACUUUACUGAUCGCAGUCGGCCUUGUGUCGGCGACGGAUCUUUCAAAUGUCUGCCCUAUCAAUUGUCGAUGGUAGGUGAUCUGCCUACCAUGGUGAUAACGGGUAACGGGGAAUCAGGGUUCUAUUCCGGAGAGGGAGCCUGAGAAACGGCUACCACAUCCAAGGAAGGCAGCAGGCACGCAAAUUACCCAAUCCCACCACGGUGAGGUAGUGACAAAAAAUACCAAUACGGGACUCUCUAAAGGCUCCGUAAUUCGAAUGAGUACAUUCUAAAUCCUUUAACGAGGACCAACUGGAGGGCAAGUCUGGUGCCAGCAGCCGCGGUAACUCCAGCUUCAGAAGCGUAUAUUAAAGUUGUGGCAGUUAAAAAGCUCGUAAUUGGAUCUGGGUCGCACGGCCACAUGCUGUGCUCAUGUUUUCUACUCUUUUGGGUGGAUAUGCGUGAGUCGGUGUACUGGUUGUGCUGCCUUUCUGCCGUGUCUGUGUAUACGGGUGCUGGCUGGCCCGAUGGGUUCGUCCUGUUGGGCAGUUGGCAUGCUCCUUGAUGCCUUUAACACGGUGUCGAGGGCGGACGGCACGUUUACUUUGAACACAUUUGAGAGCUCAAAGCAAGCCAAUGCGCCUGAAAAUUCUUGCAUGGAAUAAUGGACUACGACUUCGGUUCUAUAUUGUUGCUUUCAGAUCCGAAGUAAUGUUAAGAGGGACAGACGGGGGCAUUUGUAUGGCGGUGUUAGAGGUGAAAUUCUUGGAUCGCCGCCAGACAAACUACAGCGAAAGCAUUUGCCAAGGAUGUUUUCAUUGAUCUGGAGCGAAAGUCAGAGGUUCGAAGACGAUCAGAUACCGUCCUAGUUCUGACCAUAAACGAUGCCAACUGACGAUCCGUGGUGGUUCUUUUAUUGGCCCCGCGGGCAGUCCCCGGGAAACCCUUAAGUCUUUGGGCUCCGGGGGAAGUAUGGUUGCAAAGCUGAAACUUAAAGGAAUUGACGGAAGGGCACCACCAGGAGUGGAGCCUGCGGCUUAAUUCGACUCAACACGGGAAAACUCACCCGGCCCGGACACUAUGAGGAUUGACAGAUUGAUAGCUCUUUCUUGAUUCGGUGGUUGGUGGUGCAUGGCCGUUCUUAGUUGGUGGAGCGAUUUGUCUGGUUAAUUCCGAUAACGAACGAGACUCUGACCUGCUAAAUAGUAUGCCCGUCCCCUGUGCUCGUAUAGGCUGGAGCGUUCACUGCCUCUCGGGGUGGUGGCGUUGUUGGUCGGCGGGUACGGCGCGGGUAUAUACUUCUUAGAGGGACCAGCGGCGCAAUAGUCGCACGAAAUUGAGCAAUAACAGGUCUGUGAUGCCCUUAGAUGUCCGGGGCCGCACGUGCGCUACAAUGACGGUUUCAGCGAGUUUGGAAUCCUGGCCCGAAAGGGUUGGGCAAACUGAAUCAUAACCGUCGUGACUGGGAUCGGGGCUUGCAAUUAUUCCCCGUGAACGAGGAAUUCCUGGUAAGUGCAAGUCAUAAGCUUGCGCUGAUUACGUCCCUGCCCUUUGUACACACCGCCCGUCGCUACUACCGAUUGAAUGGUUUAGCGAGGUCAUCGGAUUGGCGCCAUUGUAGUGGUUUCGGCCGCUCGACCGGUGCUGAGAAGACGACCGAACUUG